GGGGAUAGUUGGCGAGCCGGUGCUCCCCCUGGACUUCAAAUCCAGCGGCGGCCAAGAAGCCGCGGUGGGUUCGAUUCCCACAUAUCCCCGCCA
RNAcentral lists this transfer RNA (93 nucleotides) under Bacillota bacterium. RNAcentral describes it as "tRNA-Sec". It matches the Rfam family "Selenocysteine transfer RNA". The record is from RNAcentral. Lineage: Bacteria; Bacillati; Bacillota.